This 1365-nucleotide ribosomal RNA is filed under the name Lactiplantibacillus plantarum. RNAcentral describes it as "bacterial SSU rRNA". It matches the Rfam family "Bacterial small subunit ribosomal RNA", at positions 93 to 1444 of the family's 1533-position model. The record is from RNAcentral. Lineage: Bacteria; Bacillati; Bacillota; Bacilli; Lactobacillales; Lactobacillaceae.
GAGUGGCGAACUGGUGAGUAACACGUGGGAAACCUGCCCAGAAGCGGGGGAUAACACCUGGAAACAGAUGCUAAUACCGCAUAACAACUUGGACCGCAUGGUCCGAGCUUGAAAGAUGGCUUCGGCUAUCACUUUUGGAUGGUCCCGCGGCGUAUUAGCUAGAUGGUGGGGUAACGGCUCACCAUGGCAAUGAUACGUAGCCGACCUGAGAGGGUAAUCGGCCACAUUGGGACUGAGACACGGCCCAAACUCCUACGGGAGGCAGCAGUAGGGAAUCUUCCACAAUGGACGAAAGUCUGAUGGAGCAACGCCGCGUGAGUGAAGAAGGGUUUCGGCUCGUAAAACUCUGUUGUUAAAGAAGAACAUAUCUGAGAGUAACUGUUCAGGUAUUGACGGUAUUUAACCAGAAAGCCACGGCUAACUACGUGCCAGCAGCCGCGGUAAUACGUAGGUGGCAAGCGUUGUCCGGAUUUAUUGGGCGUAAAGCGAGCGCAGGCGGUUUUUUAAGUCUGAUGUGAAAGCCUUCGGCUCAACCGAAGAAGUGCAUCGGAAACUGGGAAACUUGAGUGCAGAAGAGGACAGUGGAACUCCAUGUGUAGCGGUGAAAUGCGUAGAUAUAUGGAAGAACACCAGUGGCGAAGGCGGCUGUCUGGUCUGUAACUGACGCUGAGGCUCGAAAGUAUGGGUAGCAAACAGGAUUAGAUACCCUGGUAGUCCAUACCGUAAACGAUGAAUGCUAAGUGUUGGAGGGUUUCCGCCCUUCAGUGCUGCAGCUAACGCAUUAAGCAUUCCGCCUGGGGAGUACGGCCGCAAGGCUGAAACUCAAAGGAAUUGACGGGGGCCCGCACAAGCGGUGGAGCAUGUGGUUUAAUUCGAAGCUACGCGAAGAACCUUACCAGGUCUUGACAUACUAUGCAAAUCUAAGAGAUUAGACGUUCCCUUCGGGGACAUGGAUACAGGUGGUGCAUGGUUGUCGUCAGCUCGUGUCGUGAGAUGUUGGGUUAAGUCCCGCAACGAGCGCAACCCUUAUUAUCAGUUGCCAGCAUUAAGUUGGGCACUCUGGUGAGACUGCCGGUGACAAACCGGAGGAAGGUGGGGAUGACGUCAAAUCAUCAUGCCCCUUAUGACCUGGGCUACACACGUGCUACAAUGGAUGGUACAACGAGUUGCGAACUCGCGAGAGUAAGCUAAUCUCUUAAAGCCAUUCUCAGUUCGGAUUGUAGGCUGCAACUCGCCUACAUGAAGUCGGAAUCGCUAGUAAUCGCGGAUCAGCAUGCCGCGGUGAAUACGUUCCCGGGCCUUGUACACACCGCCCGUCACACCAUGAGAGUUUGUAACACCCAAAGUCGGUGGGGUAACCUUUUA